Molecule: ribosomal RNA, 2922 nt
Filed under: Escherichia coli
Lineage: Bacteria; Pseudomonadati; Pseudomonadota; Gammaproteobacteria; Enterobacterales; Enterobacteriaceae
Description: partial 23S ribosomal RNA
Rfam family: Bacterial large subunit ribosomal RNA
Source: RNAcentral
UUGUGAGGUUAAGCGACUAAGCGUACACGGUGGAUGCCCUGGCAGUCAGAGGCGAUGAAGGACGUGCUAAUCUGCGAUAAGCGUCGGUGAGGUGAUAUGAACCGUUAUAACCGGCGAUUUCCGAAUGGGGAAACCCAGUGUGUUUCGACACACUAUCAUUAACUGAAUCCAUAGGUUAAUGAGGCGAACCGGGGGAACUGAAACAUCUAAGUACCCCGAGGAAAAGAAAUCAACCGAGAUUCCCCCAGUAGCGGCGAGCGAACGGGGAGGAGCCCAGAGCCUGAAUCAGUGUGUGUGUUAGUGGAAGCGUCUGGAAAGGCGUGCGAUACAGGGUGACAGCCCCGUACACAAAAAUGCACAUAUUGUGAGCUCGAUGAGUAGGGCGGGACACGUGGUAUCCUGUCUGAAUAUGGGGGGACCAUCCUCCAAGGCUAAAUACUCCUGACUGACCGAUAGUGAACCAGUACCGUGAGGGAAAGGCGAAAAGAACCCCGGCGAGGGGAGUGAAAAAGAACCUGAAACCGUGUACGUACAAGCAGUGGGAGCCUCUUUAUGGGGUGACUGCGUACCUUUUGUAUAAUGGGUCAGCGACUUAUAUUCUGUAGCAAGGUUAACCGAAUAGGGGAGCCGAAGGGAAACCGAGUCUUAACUGGGCGUUAAGUUGCAGGGUAUAGACCCGAAACCCGGUGAUCUAGCCAUGGGCAGGUUGAAGGUUGGGUAACACUAACUGGAGGACCGAACCGACUAAUGUUGAAAAAUUAGCGGAUGACUUGUGGCUGGGGGUGAAAGGCCAAUCAAACCGGGAGAUAGCUGGUUCUCCCCGAAAGCUAUUUAGGUAGCGCCUCGUGAAUUCAUCUCCGGGGGUAGAGCACUGUUUCGGCAAGGGGGUCAUCCCGACUUACCAACCCGAUGCAAACUGCGAAUACCGGAGAAUGUUAUCACGGGAGACACACGGCGGGUGCUAACGUCCGUCGUGAAGAGGGAAACAACCCAGACCGCCAGCUAAGGUCCCAAAGUCAUGGUUAAGUGGGAAACGAUGUGGGAAGGCCCAGACAGCCAGGAUGUUGGCUUAGAAGCAGCCAUCAUUUAAAGAAAGCGUAAUAGCUCACUGGUCGAGUCGGCCUGCGCGGAAGAUGUAACGGGGCUAAACCAUGCACCGAAGCUGCGGCAGCGACACUAUGUGUUGUUGGGUAGGGGAGCGUUCUGUAAGCCUGUGAAGGUGGCCUGUGAGGGUUGCUGGAGGUAUCAGAAGUGCGAAUGCUGACAUAAGUAACGAUAAAGCGGGUGAAAAGCCCGCUCGCCGGAAGACCAAGGGUUCCUGUCCAACGUUAAUCGGGGCAGGGUGAGUCGACCCCUAAGGCGAGGCCGAAAGGCGUAGUCGAUGGGAAACAGGUUAAUAUUCCUGUACUUGGUGUUACUGCGAAGGGGGGACGGAGAAGGCUAUGUUGGCCGGGCGACGGUUGUCCCGGUUUAAGCGUGUAGGCUGGUUUUCCAGGCAAAUCCGGAAAACCAAGGCUGAGGCGUGAUGACGAGGCACUACGGUGCUGAAGCGACAAAUGCCCUGCUUCCAGGAAAAGCCUCUAAGCAUCAGGUAACAUCAAAUCGUACCCCAAACCGACACAGGUGGUCAGGUAGAGAAUACCAAGGCGCUUGAGAGAACUCGGGUGAAGGAACUAGGCAAAAUGGUGCCGUAACUUCGGGAGAAGGCACGCUGAUAUGUAGGUGAAGCGACUUGCUCGUGGAGCUGAAAUCAGUCGAAGAUACCAGCUGGCUGCAACUGUUUAUUAAAAACACAGCACUGUGCAAACACGAAAGUGGACGUAUACGGUGUGACGCCUGCCCGGUGCCGGAAGGUUAAUUGAUGGGGUUAGCGGUAACGCGAAGCUCUUGAUCGAAGCCCCGGUAAACGGCGGCCGUAACUAUAACGGUCCUAAGGUAGCGAAAUUCCUUGUCGGGUAAGUUCCGACCUGCACGAAUGGCGUAAUGAUGGCCAGGCUGUCUCCACCCGAGACUCAGUGAAAUUGAACUCGCUGUGAAGAUGCAGUGUACCCGCGGCAAGACGGAAAGACCCCGUGAACCUUUACUAUAGCUUGACACUGAACAUUGAGCCUUGAUGUGUAGGAUAGGUGGGAGGCUUUGAAGUGUGGACGCCAGUCUGCAUGGAGCCGACCUUGAAAUACCACCCUUUAAUGUUUGAUGUUCUAACGUUGGCCCGUAAUCCGGGUUGCGGACAGUGUCUGGUGGGUAGUUUGACUGGGGCGGUCUCCUCCUAAAGAGUAACGGAGGAGCACGAAGGUUGGCUAAUCCUGGUCGGACAUCAGGAGGUUAGUGCAAUGGCAUAAGCCAGCUUGACUGCGAGCGUGACGGCGCGAGCAGGUGCGAAAGCAGGUCAUAGUGAUCCGGUGGUUCUGAAUGGAAGGGCCAUCGCUCAACGGAUAAAAGGUACUCCGGGGAUAACAGGCUGAUACCGCCCAAGAGUUCAUAUCGACGGCGGUGUUUGGCACCUCGAUGUCGGCUCAUCACAUCCUGGGGCUGAAGUAGGUCCCAAGGGUAUGGCUGUUCGCCAUUUAAAGUGGUACGCGAGCUGGGUUUAGAACGUCGUGAGACAGUUCGGUCCCUAUCUGCCGUGGGCGCUGGAGAACUGAGGGGGGCUGCUCCUAGUACGAGAGGACCGGAGUGGACGCAUCACUGGUGUUCGGGUUGUCAUGCCAAUGGCACUGCCCGGUAGCUAAAUGCGGAAGAGAUAAGUGCUGAAAGCAUCUAAGCACGAAACUUGCCCCGAGAUGAGUUCUCCCUGACUCCUUGAGAGUCCUGAAGGAACGUUGAAGACGACGACGUUGAUAGGCCGGGUGUGUAAGCGCAGCGAUGCGUUGAGCUAACCGGUACUAAUGAACCGUGAGGCUUAACCUUACAACGCCGAAG